AACGAACGCUGGCGGCAUGCCUAACACAUGCAAGUCGAACGACAGCUUCGGGUCUAGUGGCGCUCGGGUGCGUCACGCGUCGGAACCUUCCCUUAUGUUCGGAAUACCUCCCCGACAGGGGUGCUAAUGCCGGGUAACUUCUUCUGACCCAAGAUUUAUCCCCUUUGGAUGGGCCCGCGUUGGAUUAACUUGUUGCUAGUGUAAAAGCCUACCAAGGCGACGAUCCAUAGCUGGUUUGAGAGAAAGAGCAGCCACACUGGGACUGAGACACGGCCGAGACUCCUACGCAAGGCAGCAGAGGGGAAUAUUGGACAACGGGGGAAAGGAUGAUGCAGCAAUGCCGGGAGAGUGAUGAAGGCCGGAGGGUUGUAAAGCACGUUUACCCGGGAUGAUAAUGACAGUACCGGGAGAAUAAGCACCGGCUAACUCCGUG
RNAcentral lists this ribosomal RNA (433 nucleotides) under uncultured bacterium. RNAcentral's name for it is "partial 16S ribosomal RNA". It matches the Rfam family "Bacterial small subunit ribosomal RNA", at positions 29 to 507 of the family's 1533-position model. The record is from RNAcentral.